ACAGACCUGAGUGCGGCAGGACUACCCGCUAAACUUAAGCAUAUCAAUAAGCGGGAGGA
This 59-nucleotide ribosomal RNA is filed under the name uncultured eukaryote. RNAcentral describes it as "partial 26S ribosomal RNA". The record is from RNAcentral.